Molecule: ribosomal RNA, 301 nt
Filed under: uncultured bacterium
Lineage: Bacteria
Description: partial 16S ribosomal RNA
Rfam family: Bacterial small subunit ribosomal RNA
Source: RNAcentral
CAGUCGCCGCGGGAAUACGAAGGGUGCAAGCGUUAAUCGGAAUUACUGGGCGUAAAGCGUGCGUAGGCGGUGAGUUAAGUCUGCUGUGAAAUCCCCGGGCUCAACCUGGGAAUGGCAGUGGAUACUGGCUCGCUAGAGUGUGUCAGAGGAUGGUGGAAUUCCCGGUGUAGCGGUGAAAUGCGUAGAGAUCGGGAGGAACAUCAGUGGCGAAGGCGGCCAUCUGGGACAACACUGACGCUGAGGCACGAAAGCGUGGGGAGCAAACAGGAUUAGAUACCCCCGUAGUCCCUGUCUCUUAUCA